GACGUAGGGCGCGAGCGUUGUCCGGAUUUAUUGGGCGUAAAGAGCUCGUAGGCGGCUUGUCGCGUCGGAUGUGAAAGCCCGGGGCUUAACUCCGGGUCUGCAUUCGAUACGGGCAGGCUAGAGUUCGGUAGGGGAGAUCGGAAUUCCUGGUGUAGCGGUGAAAUGCGCAGAUAUCAGGAGGAACACCGGUGGCGAAGGCGGAUCUCUGGGCCGAUACUGACGCUGAGGAGCGAAAGCGUGGGGAGCGAACAGG
Molecule: ribosomal RNA, 253 nt
Filed under: uncultured bacterium
Lineage: Bacteria
Description: partial 16S ribosomal RNA
Rfam family: Bacterial small subunit ribosomal RNA
Source: RNAcentral